This 1310-nucleotide long non-coding RNA is filed under the name Fragaria vesca (wild strawberry). RNAcentral's name for it is "long non-coding RNA (FVES_LNC005084)". Lineage: Eukaryota; Viridiplantae; Streptophyta; Magnoliopsida; Rosales; Rosaceae. The record is from RNAcentral.
GGUGGGUCUUCUCCAAUUCGACACUGCUUCCACCUUUUGGGGAUCCACACUAACUCCUUCUGCCGAAAUCACAUGACCCAAGAACCCCACUUUAUCAAGCCAAAACUCACACUUGCUAAACUUAGCAAUAACUGCGACUUUUCCAAAGUCCGCAAUAUUAUUCUUAGAUGCUUGGCAUGCUCUUUCUUACUUCUUGAGUAAACCAAAAUGUCAUCUAUAAAUACGAUCACGAAACGAUCAAGGUAUGGACUAAACACCCUAUUCAUGAGAUCCAUGAACGCCGCGGGUGCAUUAGUAAGUCCAAAAGGCAUCACCUCAAAUUCAUAAUGACCAUAACGUGAUCGGAAAGCAGUCUUGGCUAUGUCACCCUCUCGGAUCCGCAACUGAUGAUACCCCGAUCUCAAAUCAAUCUUGGAGAAAACAGAGGUACCCCUCAACUGAUCAAAUAAAUCAUCGAUCCGAGGCAACGGAUAUUUAUUCUUCACUGUGACCUGAUUCAGCUUCCUAUAAUCAAUGCAUAGUCUCAUGGUGCCAUCUUUCUUCUUAACAAACAACACCGGAGCACCCCAUGGAGACAUGCUAGGCCGAAUAAAACCCUUAUCUACCAACUCCUGCAAUUGAGUCUUCAACUUUUUCAAUUCCGCUGGAGCCAUUCUGUAAGGCGCCUGAGAGAUCGGCAUAGUUCCGGGAAGUAAUUCUAUAGAGAAGUCUAUAUCCCUUGCAGGAGGCAAACCAGGCAACUCCUCAGGAAAACAUCCGGAAACUCUCUUACUACAGGAAUAUCUUCUAAUCCCACAACUCACAUGCUUGUAUCCACCACAUGAGCUAGAAAUGCCUGACAGCCUUUACUCAACAAUUUCCUUGCAGCAACAGCGGAAAUUAUGCAACUAAAAAUAACAUCUCUUUCCCCUUGGAAAGCAACCUCAAAACCAUCUGGACUUCGAAGCACCACUACUUUUUGAAAACAAUCUACCAUAGCUCUAUAUGCUUCCAAAAAGUCCAUUCCCAAUAUCACAUCAAACUCCACUAUAUCUAAAGGAAUUAAAUCAGCCUCGAAAAUAACUCCUUCCACUACCACUUCACAGCCACUAAAAACCCAAUUUAUUCUCAUCACCUCACCGGAGGGUAGAGACACACGCCACUCGCCUGGAAGAGACGAGGAUGGCACAUUGGCAUGGAGGGCAAAUCUACUAGACAUGAAUGAAUGCGUGGCUCCGGGAUCAAUUAAAGUAAAAGCAGGCUGACCAAAAAUCAAUAACGUACCAAUGAUAACAUCUGGAGAAGUACGACCCUCCUGCAGGGUCAUAGCA